CCAAACAUGUCGGUUUGAUCCUUCCUUUAUUA
This 32-nucleotide transfer RNA is filed under the name Craugastor cf. mexicanus UTA A-55247. RNAcentral's name for it is "partial tRNA-Met". Lineage: Eukaryota; Metazoa; Chordata; Amphibia; Anura; Craugastoridae. The record is from RNAcentral.